This 466-nucleotide ribosomal RNA is filed under the name uncultured delta proteobacterium. RNAcentral describes it as "partial 16S ribosomal RNA". It matches the Rfam family "Bacterial small subunit ribosomal RNA", at positions 338 to 794 of the family's 1533-position model. The record is from RNAcentral. Lineage: Bacteria; Deltaproteobacteria.
CCUAACGGGAGGCAGCAGUGGGGAAUCUUGCGCAAUGGGGGAAGCCCUGACGCAGCAACGCCGCGUGGGUGAUGAAGGCCUUCGGGUCGUAAAGCCCUGUCAGGUGGAAAGAAAUGUGUGGAUGCGAAUAACAUCCUCACUUGACGGUACCACCGGAGGAAGCACCGGCUAACUCCGUGCCAGCAGCCGCGGUAAUACGGAGGGUGCAAGCGUUGUUCGGAAUUAUUGGGCGUAAAGCGCGUGUAGGUGGUUGGGCAAGUCAGAGGUAAAAGCCCUCCGCUAAAUGGAGGAAGUGCAUUUGAAACGGCCAAGCUAGAGUACGGGAGAGGAGAGUGAAAUUCCCGGUGUAGAGGUAAAAUUCGUAGAUAUCGGGAGGAACACCAGUGGCGAGGGCGGCUCCCUGGACCGAUACUGACACUGAGACGCGAAAGCGUGGGGAGCAAACAGGAUUAGAUACCCCUGUAGU